Molecule: long non-coding RNA, 321 nt
Organism: Papaver somniferum (opium poppy)
Lineage: Eukaryota; Viridiplantae; Streptophyta; Magnoliopsida; Ranunculales; Papaveraceae
Exons: 3
Source: RefSeq, a predicted model, not a curated record
GUGUUUUUUUAUUAACGUUCUGUUUGUAUGGGUUACUUUAACUUUUAAAAUGCCAUUGUUCAUCUUUCAGGUCAGGAUUCGUGAGCCUAAAGGAUCUGAAAUCAGAAAGCACAAUCUGAGGAAGGUGCUUCUGCGAAAUUUAUAACUUGAAUUGUGUGCACCAAAUAUAUGAAUUGUUGGGCUUAGUUCAUCAUCGGGAAGUUUAUCAUUUUGCUGGUUUGCCCUUGUUUUUAGAAACUUUGAAUUUACAAGGACUUGUAGCACAUCUUUGAAUAAACCUUCAACUUACUAGUACUUGUAUUAUAGUGAAUAGCAUGCCGA